Molecule: non-coding RNA, 69 nt
Organism: Ictidomys tridecemlineatus (thirteen-lined ground squirrel)
Lineage: Eukaryota; Metazoa; Chordata; Mammalia; Rodentia; Sciuridae
Source: Rfam
GGGGUUAUGGCUCAGUGGUAGAGCACUCACCUACCAUGUGUGAGGCCUUGGGUUCAAUACUCAGCACCA